CUAACACAUGCAAGUCGAACGAGAAAGUGGAGCAAUCCAUGAGUAAAGUGGCGACCGGGUGAGUAACACGUGACUAACCUGCCCUUGAGUGGGGGAUAACCUCGGGAAACCGAGGCUAAUACCGCAUAACAUCGCAAGAUCAAAGGAGCAAUCCGCUUUUGGAGGGGGUCGCGGCUGAUUAGCUAGUUGGUAGGGUAAUGGCCUACCAAGGCGAAGAUCGGUAUCCGGCCUGAGGGGGCGCACGGACACACUGGAACUGAAACACGGUCCAGACUCCUACGGGAGGCAGCAGUGGGGAAUUUUGCGCAAUGGGGGAAACCCUGACGCAGCAACGCCGCGUGGAGGAUGAAGCCCCUUGGGGCGUAAACUCCUUUCGACUGGGAAGAUUAUGACGGUACCAGUGGAAGAAGCACCGGCUAACUCUGUGCCAGCAGCCGCGGUAAU
Molecule: ribosomal RNA, 444 nt
Filed under: uncultured bacterium
Lineage: Bacteria
Description: bacterial SSU rRNA
Rfam family: Bacterial small subunit ribosomal RNA
Source: RNAcentral